This 696-nucleotide long non-coding RNA is filed under the name Bos taurus (domestic cattle). Its description in RNAcentral is "long non-coding RNA NONBTAT026448". Lineage: Eukaryota; Metazoa; Chordata; Mammalia; Artiodactyla; Bovidae. The record is from RNAcentral.
AAAAAUUCCAGAAAACUCUGAUUGAAGCCAUUAUACCAAGAUCCCAAGUUCCAUCCCUUCUUUCCCCUUGCUGAACACCCUCGUCUGAGGCUCUCUUAGCUGACGUUCUUAUCUGGCCACCUGGUUCCAUCCGUCAUCAUUUUUAAGGAAAAGAAGUACAUUUUGCAAAGAAUAACAGAUGUCUUGGAAAGGCUUGUUUAGUAUGAAUCCAGUUCUGUUUGGAAAAUUCUAUGUAUAUCACAGCAAUCCCAUCUGUUGUUGACCCCAAAGCUACAUCACAUUCAUUGGUGUAUCUCUUCCCCCAUCAAUGUAGGUUGACUUGUUCCCGCUGUAGAGGGUCCCUCGCAAGGAGCUGAGUGUUUACCUCCAUCACCCACCUCUGUAUCAGCUGCCCAGUUCUUCCCCCACACCCUGUUCUGCCAUCCCAUGACUGGGACACUGGAUACAGCUGUCCAGACUUCAGUCUCUGCCCCAUUCCUCUUAGAGCCCUGUGUUUCCCUGUGCUGCUGACUGCCGAUACACUACUGCUACCUGGCGAUUCACUGUAUGCAGGCUCUGGAGUAUGCUUAUUUAACACCUAUCAGAUUUCUUUUUUCAGACAGAGUUAAAAUUACUUUAUACUUAGUUCAAUAUGCUGGCUUUUAAGGGACAACAUUGUAUUUUUUUUUCUCUUUAAAUAAAGUUCUUUGUAGAGAA